CAGUAGCCGCGGUAAUACGGAGGGGGCUAGCGUUGCUCGGAAUCACUGGGCGUAAAGGGUGCGUAGGCGGGUUUUUAAGUCAGAGGUGAAAUCCUGGAGCUCAACUCCAGAACUGCCUUUGAUACUGAAAGUCUUGAGUAUGGGAGAGGUGAGUGGAACUGCGAGUGUAGAGGUGAAAUUCGUAGAUAUUCGCAAGAACACCAGUGGCGAAGGCGGCUCACUGGCCCAUAACUGACGCUGAGGCACGAAAGCGUGGGGAGCAAACAGGAUUAGAUACCCCCGUAGUCCCUGUCUCUUAUAC
RNAcentral lists this ribosomal RNA (301 nucleotides) under uncultured bacterium. RNAcentral describes it as "partial 16S ribosomal RNA". It matches the Rfam family "Bacterial small subunit ribosomal RNA", at positions 509 to 807 of the family's 1533-position model. The record is from RNAcentral.